CGUAAUACUGUGUAAACAAGCCUUCCACUGGUAUAUUUAGUGAGAACUGUACAUCUAUGUUAAAUGAUCAAUUUUGUAGAAAGUUAAAGGAGGUGAGGGUGGAGUUAUCUAUAAAAGGCGAUGUCCUACUGGCUGGGUCGGCACACGGAGCCGUGUAUGCAGCAGAACUAAGUAUAUUCGCCAAUCCUUCAAAAAGGGAUUGUAAUUUGGAAUCCAGACUAAUGCCAAGAAAUAUAGCAGAUUCAUUAAAUUUUUGACAUUUGGAAUGAAAAUGAAAUGGAGACGGGUUUGAGUAGCUGAAAAGCCGUAUCUAGCAAAUCCCGUCGAGCGACGAGUCGAAUGCGGGUUUCCAGAAGUAUUCGCUCAGAAAAGGAGUAACGACGUCGUCGCCCUUUGAGGGGGCGAGAUGAUAACGGAAUGCCGCUUCCAGGUCACCUUCAAAAAAUGCGUGGACCCUACCUAAAAGUCUAGUAAGGCUCU
Leptidea sinapis is the source of this 480-nucleotide long non-coding RNA. RefSeq lists it as uncharacterized. The transcript is spliced from 3 exons. NCBI's taxonomy places the organism in Eukaryota, Metazoa, Arthropoda, Insecta, Lepidoptera, Pieridae. The record is from RefSeq and is a predicted model, not a curated record.